GAUGAACGCUGGCGGCGUGCCUAAUACAUGCAAGUCGAGCGGUAACACUUCGGGUGACGAGCGGCGGACGGCUGAGUAACGCGUAGGAACGUACCCCAAACUGAGGGAUAAGCACCAGAAAUGGUGUCUAAUACCGCAUAUGGUCUUCGGAUUAAAGCUUCGGCGGUUUGGGAACGGCCUGCGUAUGAUCAGCUUGUUGGUGAGGUAAAAGCUCACCAAGGCGACGAUCAUUAGCUGGUCUGAGAGGAUGAUCAGCCAGACUGGGACUGAGACACGGCCCAGACUCCUACGGGAGGCAGCAGUAGGGAAUCUUCCACAAUGGGCGAAAGCCUGAUGGAGCAACGCCGCGUGCAGGAUGAAAGCCUUCGGGUCGUAAACUGCUUUUAUAUGCGAAGACUUCGACGGUAGCAUAUGAAUAAGGAUCGGCUAACUCCGUGCCAGCAGCCGCGGUCAUACGGAGGAUCCAAGCGUUAUCCGGAAUUACG
RNAcentral lists this ribosomal RNA (485 nucleotides) under uncultured bacterium. Its description in RNAcentral is "bacterial SSU rRNA". It matches the Rfam family "Bacterial small subunit ribosomal RNA", at positions 28 to 555 of the family's 1533-position model. The record is from RNAcentral.